RNAcentral lists this ribosomal RNA (468 nucleotides) under uncultured bacterium. RNAcentral's name for it is "partial 16S ribosomal RNA". It matches the Rfam family "Bacterial small subunit ribosomal RNA", at positions 28 to 507 of the family's 1533-position model. The record is from RNAcentral.
GACGAACGCUGGCGGCGUGCUUAACACAUGCAAGUCGAACGGAAAGGCCCUGCUUUUGUGGGGUGCUCGAGUGGCGAACGGGUGAGUAGCACGUGAGUAACCUGCCCUUGACUUUGGGAUAACUUCAGGAAACUGGGGCUAAUACCGGAUAGGAGCUCCUGCUGCAUGGUGGGGGUCGGAAAGUUUCGGCGGUUGGGGAUGGACUCGCGGCUUAUCAGCUUGUUGGUGGGGUAGUGGCUUACCAAGGCUUUGACGGGUAGCCGGCCUGAGAGGGUGACCGGCCACAUUGGGACUGAGAUACGGCCCAGACUCCUACGGGAGGCAGCAGUGGGGAAUAUUGCACAAUGGGCGGAAGCCUGAUGCAGCAACGCCGCGUGCGGGAUGACGGCCUUCGGGUUGUAAACCGCUUUCGCCUGUGACGAAGCGUGAGUGACGGUAAUGGGUAAAGAAGCACCGGCUAACUACGUG